This 864-nucleotide long non-coding RNA is filed under the name Marmota monax (woodchuck). Lineage: Eukaryota; Metazoa; Chordata; Mammalia; Rodentia; Sciuridae. The record is from RNAcentral.
GAUAUGGGGGGUCUUGCUUAGAUGCCAAGGUUAACCCAGAGCUCACCAUGUUCCUGCCUCAGCCUCCCAAGUAGCUGGGAUUAUAGGCAUAUGCCAGACUGGCAGUCUGCCUUUUCUUGAAACCUACUUCUUGUGAGACGCUAGUUCUUGUUUCUCUUAGAAAAUCCCAGCACAGUCUGAGAUCUCUGCCCCCCAAAAAAAUAAUUUUAAAAAAUAGUCUGAAAACUUAGGCCAAGGCCUGCUGGGAUGAGCUACUCGGUGGACACAGUGGAUAGAGGUGGGUGAAACAUGGUAUGUCUACCUCUCCCUUGUCCUCUUCCUCCCAGCUCCCUUCUACUGCACCUGCAUGUCACAGUUUUUAGGGACUCCAGAAAGUGAUCCAACAUGUAAACUGGCCAGGGGUCUGUCAUGGGGUAGAAGUGGAGCAGCACAUGUCACUUGUCAUCUGGUAGCAUUAAGAAAUCAGCCUUGACUCCCAUAUGUUGAAAUGUGAGGACAUCUAGAGUGAGGAGUGCUCACUUUUGCUCUCUGGACACUGAAAACAUUCAGCUAGAUGUUAUGGGGCCUUCCCACCUCCCUUACUUUGUAUUUGUUUACAACAGGAGGUACUUUACCAUCCUCCUGAGCCUUUCAACAGUUUUGGACAAAAGUCUACUGAUGUCCAAAUGCAAAAGAAGUGGCUGUCAGAUGUGGAAAUGCUUUCCUCUAUAAUGCCUCAAAAAUAAACCAUGCAUAUAAAUUCAGAACUCUUCCUCUUGGGGAUUUUUUGUGAUGGCAAGAAUGACGCUGCCACUCACAGAAGAGUUUAAGGAAAUGGAGUUGCCUCCCCUGGCUCUGAGAGUCUGCCUGUGAAAGGAGUCUGAG